AUUGAACGCUGGCGGCAGGCCUAACACAUGCAAGUCGAGCGGAUGAAGGGAGCUUGCUCCUGGAUUCAGCGGCGGACGGGUGAGUAAUGCCUAGGAAUCUGCCUGGUAGUGGGGGAUAACGUCCGGAAACGGGCGCUAAUACCGCAUACGUCCUGAGGGAGAAAGUGGGGGAUCUUCGGACCUCACGCUAUCAGAUGAGCCUAGGUCGGAUUAGCUAGUUGGUGGGGUAAAGGCCUACCAAGGCGACGAUCCGUAACUGGCCUGAGAGGAUGAUCAGUCACACUGGAACUGAGACACGGUCCAGACUCCUACGGGAGGCAGCAGUGGGGAAUAUUGGACAAUGGGCGAAAGCAUGAUCCAGCCAUGCCGCGUGUGUGAAGAAGGUCUUCGGAUUGUAAAGAACUUUAAGUUGGGAGGAAGGGCAGUAAGUUAAUACCUUGCUGUUUUGACGUUACCAACAGAAUAAGCACCGGCUAACUUCGUG
RNAcentral lists this ribosomal RNA (484 nucleotides) under uncultured bacterium. RNAcentral describes it as "partial 16S ribosomal RNA". It matches the Rfam family "Bacterial small subunit ribosomal RNA", at positions 30 to 507 of the family's 1533-position model. The record is from RNAcentral.